RNAcentral lists this ribosomal RNA (301 nucleotides) under uncultured bacterium. RNAcentral describes it as "partial 16S ribosomal RNA". It matches the Rfam family "Bacterial small subunit ribosomal RNA", at positions 509 to 807 of the family's 1533-position model. The record is from RNAcentral.
CAGCAGCCGCGGUAAUACGAAGGGGGCUAGCGUUGCUCGGAAUGACUGGGCGUAAAGGGCGCGUAGGCGGCGGCCAAAGUCAGGCGUGAAAUUCCCGGGCUCAACCUGGGGGCUGCGUUUGAUACUUGGUUGCUUGAGUGGGGAAGAGGGUCGUGGAAUUCCCAGUGUAGAGGUGAAAUUCGUAGAUAUUGGGAAGAACACCGGUGGCGAAGGCGGCGACCUGGUCCUUUACUGACGCUGAGGCGCAAAAGCGUGGGGAGCAAACAGGAUUAGAUACCCCUGUAGUCCCUGUCUCUUAUAC